AUGGGACUGAGGAAGGUAUUAUCCCCACUGUUCCCCAUCCUCACUCAGCAGCCAAAGGGUGGAAGAGACAUGGGCAUAGACUGGAGCAGGAGAAAUCCUUCUGCAUCAGCUCAGGUCUGCCAGCCUGCAGAGUGGCCCCAAGUUAAAGCCACAGCAGCUGACUCAUCUAACAUCCCAGUUCUUUCCUUUUUUUUUUUUAAUAUUUUUAAUUUAUUUUUACAUAUUUCAUGCUUGACCACAGCAAGCUAUCUUAAUUUCUCUUCUCCCUCUCUCUCCCCCUUCUCGUUUAAUUUCCUGUGUGUUACGCAUCCUGACUUGCCUCCAAGUGAUUUUGAUUCCUCUCUUCCUCAGAUGUGUUGGAAACAGAGAACAAAGCAUGGCCACGGAUCUGCAAAUGGGCAUCUUCUCAUCUGGAUCCUGAGUGUUCUCUUGGCUGGGAGUACAUGGGAACCAAGCAGUCUGGGAAAGGUCCUUUGGCACAGCGUGAAGACCUCCAGGGCCCUGCUCCAAAGCCCAUAUGAAAGAUGGGAAUUCUCCCAUUGA
Molecule: long non-coding RNA, 543 nt
Filed under: Phasianus colchicus (ring-necked pheasant)
Lineage: Eukaryota; Metazoa; Chordata; Aves; Galliformes; Phasianidae
Description: lncRNA (ENSPCLG00000007638.1)
Source: RNAcentral